Molecule: ribosomal RNA, 75 nt
Filed under: uncultured Pseudanabaena sp.
Lineage: Bacteria; Bacillati; Cyanobacteriota; Cyanophyceae; Pseudanabaenales; Pseudanabaenaceae
Description: partial 16S ribosomal RNA
Source: RNAcentral
GAGGGANGAAGGCCUUUGGGUUGUAAACCUCUUUUGUUAGGGAAGAUAAUGACUGUACCCUCCCAAUAAGGUCCG